RNAcentral lists this ribosomal RNA (403 nucleotides) under uncultured bacterium. RNAcentral describes it as "partial 16S ribosomal RNA". It matches the Rfam family "Bacterial small subunit ribosomal RNA", at positions 29 to 526 of the family's 1533-position model. The record is from RNAcentral.
AUUGAACGCUGGCGGCAGGCCUAACACAUGCAAGUCGAGCGAGCGGCGGACGGGUGAGUAAUGUAUGGGGACUGCCCGAUAGAGGGGGAUAACUACUGGAAACGGUGGCUAAUACCGCAUACUAACGGAUAACCCAUAUGGGAUUGGCUAGUAGGUGGGGUAAAGGAUCACCUAGGGGACGAUCUCUAGCUGGUCUGAGAGGAUGAUCAGCCACACGGCGACUGAGACGCGGCCCAGACUCCUACGGAGGCAGGAGUGGGACAUAUUGCACAAGGGGCGCAAGCCUGAUGCAGCCAUGCCGCGUGUAUGAGGAAGGCCUUCGGGUUGUAAAGUACUUUCAGCGGGGAGGCGUUACCCGCAGAAGAAGCACCGGCUAACUCCGUGCCAGCAGCCGCGGUAAUAC